This 1555-nucleotide ribosomal RNA is filed under the name Priestia flexa. RNAcentral describes it as "bacterial SSU rRNA". It matches the Rfam family "Bacterial small subunit ribosomal RNA". Lineage: Bacteria; Bacillati; Bacillota; Bacilli; Caryophanales; Bacillaceae. The record is from RNAcentral.
UCUUCGGAGAGUUUGAUCCUGGCUCAGGAUGAACGCUGGCGGCGUGCCUAAUACAUGCAAGUCGAGCGAACUGAUUAGAAGCUUGCUUCUAUGACGUUAGCGGCGGACGGGUGAGUAACACGUGGGCAACCUGCCUGUAAGACUGGGAUAACUCCGGGAAACCGGAGCUAAUACCGGAUAACAUUUUCUCUUGCAUAAGAGAAAAUUGAAAGAUGGUUUCGGCUAUCACUUACAGAUGGGCUCGCGGUGCAUUAGCUAGUUGGUGAGGUAACGGCUCACCAAGGCAACGAUGCAUAGCCGACCUGAGAGGGUGAUCGUACCACACUGGGACUGAGACACGACCCAGACUCCUACGGGAGGCAGCAGUAGGGAAUCUUCCGCAAUGGACGAAAGUCUGACGGAGCAACGCCGCGUGAGUGAUGAAGGCUUUCGGGUCGUAAAACUCUGUUGUUAGGGAAGAACAAGUACAAGAGUAACUGCUUGUACCUUGACGGUACCUAACCAGAAAGCCACGGCUAACUACGUGCCAGCAGCCGCGGUAAUACGUAGGUGGCAAGCGUUAUCCGGAAUUAUUGGGCGUAAAGCGCGCGCAGGCGGUUUCUUAAGUCUGAUGUGAAAGCCCACGGCUCAACCGUGGAGGGUCAUUGGAAACUGGGGAACUUGAGUGCAGAAGAGAAAAGCGGAAUUCCACGUGUAGCGGUGAAAUGCGUAGAGAUGUGGAGGAACACCAGUGGCGAAGGCGGCUUUUUGGUCUGUAACUGACGCUGAGGCGCGAAAGCGUGGGGAGCAAACAGGAUUAGAUACCCUGGUAGUCCACGCCGUAAACGAUGAGUGCUAAGUGUUAGAGGGUUUCCGCCCUUUAGUGCUGCAGCUAACGCAUUAAGCACUCCGCCUGGGGAGUACGGUCGCAAGACUGAAACUCAAAGGAAUUGACGGAGUACCGCACAAGCGGUGGAGCAUGUGGUUUAAUUCGAAGCAACGCGAAGAACCUUACCAGGUCUUGACAUCCUCUGACAACUCUAGAGAUAGAGCGUUCCCCUUCGGGGGACAGAGUGACAGGUGGUGCAUGGUUGUCGUCAGCUCGUGUCGUGAGAUGUUGGGUUAAGUCCCGCAACGAGCGCAACCCUUGAUCUUAGUUGCCAGCAUUUAGUUGGGCACUCUAAGGUGACUGCCGGUGACAAACCGGAGGAAGGUGGGGAUGACGUCAAAUCAUCAUGCCCCUUAUGACCUGGGCUACACACGUGCUACAAUGGAUGGUACAAAGGGCUGCAAGACCGCGAGGUCAAGCCAAUCCCAUAAAACCAUUCUCAGUUCGGAUUGUAGGCUGCAACUCGCCUACAUGAAGCUGGAAUCGCUAGUAAUCGCGGAUCAGCAUGCCGCGGUGAAUACGUUCCCGUAGCCUUGUACACACCGCCCGUCACACCACGAGAGUUUGUAACACCCGAAGUCGGUGGGGUAACCUUUAUGGAGCCAGCCGCCUAAGGUGGGACAGAUGAUUGGGGUGAAGUCGUAACAAGGUAGCCGUAUCGGAAGGUGCGGCUGGAUCACCUCCUUU